This 253-nucleotide ribosomal RNA is filed under the name uncultured bacterium. RNAcentral's name for it is "partial 16S ribosomal RNA". It matches the Rfam family "Bacterial small subunit ribosomal RNA", at positions 524 to 776 of the family's 1533-position model. The record is from RNAcentral.
UACGGAGGAUCCGAGCGUUAUCCGGAUUUAUUGGGUUUAAAGGGUGCGUAGGCGGCCCUGUAAGUCAGUUGUGAAAUACGGCAGCUUAACUGUCGAGGUGCAAUUGAUACUGCAGGGCUUGAGUACUGAUGAGGUAGGCGGAAUGGACGGUGUAGCGGUGAAAUGCUUAGAGAUCGUCCAGAACACCGAUAGCGAAGGCAGCUUACUAAGGAGUAACUGACGCUGAGGCACGAAAGUGUGGGGAUCAAACAGG